Molecule: long non-coding RNA, 1043 nt
Organism: Humulus lupulus (European hop)
Lineage: Eukaryota; Viridiplantae; Streptophyta; Magnoliopsida; Rosales; Cannabaceae
Exons: 3
Source: RefSeq, a predicted model, not a curated record
CCCUUUUCCCUCUUCCUGUUAUAUUCUCUAGACCUAAACCCAAAGCUCUCAUUUUCUUUCCUCUAAUCUAAAAACCCUGUCUCUAAGCAGGUCUCCUCACUCACUCUUCCCCGAUCCCUCUCCUUCUCUCUCUCUCUCCUGCUCCCUCAACUACGACGGCGAGGGGAUAUACGAGGCUUCAACCACGGUGGAGGUCGACGGGGCUGACAGAGGCUCAGCGGGACUGCCGGAGGCUCGACGACGUGGACUCAGAGACUCGUUGGUGCAGGUAAAGAUCUCUCUCUCUCUCUCGUUCUGUUGGUGGGUGAAAGAUUAAUAUUAAUAUAUAAUAAUAAUAUUACACGAUUCAAAAAUGACGGAGAUCACAUGCGAGUGCGACAAUGUCCCACAUUCUAAAUACCAGUGCCAAGCUCUACUUUGCCCCCAGAGCCCAUCUCUUUACCUCUUCUUCUAGCUUUGCUCGUAACCCUUUUCUCCAAAUCCCUUCUUCCAUUCCAAAGCCCCUUUCUCCUCUCAUUUCUAGGGUCUCUCUUUCUUUUAAAGCUUCCAAUCCCACCAUGGGAGACUCUGCCGACGCUGGAAUGGACGCUGUCUAGAGACGCCUUAUGUUUGAGGACGAAUGCAUUCUAGUGGAUAAGAACGACCGGGUUGUUGGUCAUGAUACAAAAUAUAAUUAUCAUGUUCAUUCUGUUGGAUCAGCUGGACCUCUGUGGUUUGCUAAUGCUUUUGUACCCUGUAGGUCACUUGAUGGAAAAGAUUGAAAAGGAAAAUUUGCUGCAUAGGGCUUUCAGUGUGUUUUUGUUCAACUCGAAAUACGAGUUGCUUCUUUAGGUAUUGCUUACAAUAUUUGAGGGACAUCAAGCUAUAUGAUUUGCCAAUUAGGUACCCGAACCUUAGAUCUUGUGGGAGCAAACAAUAGACCUGACUAUUUGAACUGCCCUCCUAGGUGCUUACAUUUAUAGUAAUAAGUGUCAUGUGAAGAACCAAGUCAAGAUCUAGAUCUAUUAGGAGGGCAUAAAUUGAAUAAUUGUGUCAUAUUCUAU